CCCAGACUCCUACGGGAGGCAGCAGUGGGGAAUAUUGCACAAUGGGGGGAACCCUGAUGCAGCGACGCCGCGUGGGUGAAGGAGCGUUUCGGCGCGUAAAGCCCUAUCGGCAGGGAAGAAGGAGGACGGUACCUGACUAAGAAGCCCCGGCUAACUACGUGCCAGCAGCCGCGGUAAUACGUAGGGGGCAAGCGUUAUCCGGAUUUACUGGGUGUAAAGGGGGCGCAGACGGCAGCGCAAGCCAGGAGUGAAAGCCCGGGGCCCAACCCCGGGACUGCUCUUGGAACUGCGCGGCUGGAGUGCAGGAGGGGCAGGCGGAAUUCCUGGUGUAGCGGUGAAAUGCGUAGAUAUCAGGAGGAACACCGGUGGCGAAGGCGGCCUGCUGGACUGCAACUGACGUUGAGGCCCGAAAGCGUGGGGAGCAAACAGGAUUAGAUACCCCCGUAAC
This 448-nucleotide ribosomal RNA is filed under the name uncultured bacterium. RNAcentral describes it as "bacterial SSU rRNA". It matches the Rfam family "Bacterial small subunit ribosomal RNA", at positions 330 to 794 of the family's 1533-position model. The record is from RNAcentral.